UACGUAGGGCGCAAGCGUUGUCCGGAAUUAUUGGGCGUAAAGAGCUCGUAGGCGGUCUGUUACGUCCGCUGUGAAAGCCCAGGGCUUAACCCUGGGCUUGCAGUGGAUACGGGCAGACUAGAGGCAGGUAGGGGAGAAUGGAAUUCCCGGUGUAGCGGUGAAAUGCGCAGAUAUCGGGAGGAACACCGGUGGCGAAGGCGGUUCUCUGGGCCUGACCUGACGCUGAGGAGCGAAAGCGUGGGGAGCGAACAGG
RNAcentral lists this ribosomal RNA (253 nucleotides) under uncultured bacterium. RNAcentral's name for it is "partial 16S ribosomal RNA". It matches the Rfam family "Bacterial small subunit ribosomal RNA", at positions 524 to 776 of the family's 1533-position model. The record is from RNAcentral.